RNAcentral lists this ribosomal RNA (531 nucleotides) under uncultured bacterium. Its description in RNAcentral is "bacterial SSU rRNA". It matches the Rfam family "Bacterial small subunit ribosomal RNA", at positions 26 to 518 of the family's 1533-position model. The record is from RNAcentral.
AGGACGAACGCUGGCGGCGUGCCUAAUACAUGCAAGUCGAGCGCGGGAAGCGGACUCGUCACCCUUCGGGGUGUCUAGUCCGUGGAACGAGCGGCGGAUGGGUGAGUAUCACGUGGGCAACCUGCCUGUAAGAUUGGGAUAACUCGCGGAAACGUGAGCUAAUACCGAAUGAAGUCUUUCACCACCUGGUGAAAGGAUGAAAGAUGGCUUUUAGCUAUCACUUACAGAUGGGCCCGCGGCGCAUUAGCUAGUUGGUGGGGUAAAGGCCUACCAAGGCGACGAUGCGUAGCCGACCUGAGAGGGUGAUCGGCCACACUGGGACUGAGACACGGCCCAGACUCCUACGGGAGGCAGCAGUAGGGAAUCUUCCGCAAUGGACGAAAGUCUGACGGAGCCAACGCCGCGUGAGUUGAUGAAGGUCUUCGGAUCGUAAAACUCUGUUGUCAGGGAAGGACAAGUUGUGUUCUAACAGGACAUGACCUUGACGGUACCUGACCAGAAAGCCCCGGCUAACUACGUGCCAGCCGCAGC